Molecule: non-coding RNA, 597 nt
Organism: Poecilia reticulata (guppy)
Lineage: Eukaryota; Metazoa; Chordata; Actinopteri; Cyprinodontiformes; Poeciliidae
Source: RefSeq, a predicted model, not a curated record
UGAGCUGCAGUUUCACUCAGCUCUAAAUUUAGCUAGCUAGCUAAGUAGUUAGCCUUCUAAACAAAUAUUUAGCUUCAGCUAGAUGGCAAGAUCAAUAUUAAAUUUGAAAGUUAAAUAUUUAGCUGUGAAUUAAUAAAAACAGCAACAUGAUGAAAAUAUGACUGAAAAAUGAACCACAUUGUUUUCGUUAUGACACGACGAACCAAAUUAUUGCUGUUAAUUUUCUUACUGUAACUUUACAAACGGCACUCUAAGCCCAGCAGCAGCCUGGUUGCCCUGGUUGCCCAGCAGCCUGGUUGCCCCGGUUGCAGGUUGCCCAGCAGCCUGGUUGCCCCGGUUGCCCAGCAGCCUGGUUGCCCUGGUUGCAGGUUGCCCAGCAGCCUGGUUGCCCUGGUUGCAGGUUGCCCAGCAGCCUGGUUGCCCCGGUUGCAGGUUGCCCAGCAGCCUGGUUGCCCCGGUUGCAGGUUGACUCCAGGUGUGAUUAUUUUUCUGGUUUGUAACUGAAGAACUUCUUGCUUUUGUUUCUCUGUUGGUUUUUAUAUCAUUUCUUAUGUCUCUUUGUUUUGUAAGAAAAUAAUUAAAAGCAGAAUUUCAGCC